Molecule: ribosomal RNA, 180 nt
Filed under: uncultured Flavobacterium sp.
Lineage: Bacteria; Pseudomonadati; Bacteroidota; Flavobacteriia; Flavobacteriales; Flavobacteriaceae
Description: 16S ribosomal RNA
Rfam family: Bacterial small subunit ribosomal RNA
Source: RNAcentral
UCCUACGGGAGGCAGCAGUGAGGAAUAUUGGACAAUGGGCGCAAGCCUGAUCCAGCCAUGCCGCGUGCAGGAUGACGGUCCUAUGGAUUGUAAACUGCUUUUGCACAGGAAGAAACAACGCUACGUGUAGCGUCUUGACGGUACUGUAAGAAUAAGGAUCGGCUAACUCCGUGCCAGCAG